UUUUAAAAUUUUUCUCUCCAAAUAAUUUUUUUUUGCUAUUUGUAUCAACGUUGAUGAAACCACUGAGUUCACCGUCCGAGUUGCCGCUUCCGACCGACUCGGUAUCCAACUUGUCGACUCACAGCAAACUAUUUGUCACCGACGACAAACCGGAGGAACCGCCACAAGUUUCGUUUCCACAGAGGCAGUGAAGGAACCGCCGCAAGAGUUGAAUAAGGUGGUGGGAGUGGGAGUGAAACGCAAAAACGACGACUCUGAACACGUUGUUUGUCAGUUAUCAUUCAGGAGGAAUGUGACUGUCCAAGAUUUGAAAUGGAUGACAUUGGUGUCAAUUAGGGAGUACUAUCUUAGAGAUGGAAAACAGCUUCCCACUACUCAAGGGAUAAGUUUAUCUUCUGAACAAUGGUCAACCUUCAAGAAUAGUGUUCCUGCCAUAGAGGAAGCUAUCACAAAGUUGGAAGGAAGGAUAAGGUGAGUGAGUAUUCAAUGUUGACUGCUGAGCUGGGAAAAAUACAUGAAUUGUGAAUUUUUCUGAGGUCAGAAUGAUGUUAAUCACACAAGUGUCAAAGUAUGGUUGAGGGAUCCACAGAUAUGCAGAAUCCUGUUUCCCUUCUUUCUCUGCAUACUGAUGGGACACUAACUGCCUGAUAUUAUAUAUGAUACUCAAUUUUAUAUUUUAGUUGGAGAAUUUUUUGCACUUUUUUGAUUAAAAUGCAGAACAGGGCAUAAAAUGGCAGUCAAAAUGGGCAUAAAAUGGCAGUCAAAAUGGGGAAAUUUCAAGUUCAGUUGUUGAUAUUCAGCCUGUUGUCCCUAUUGAGAUUGUCCGUUUUGAUGGGAAGAAUUACCAACUUUGGGCUAAACAGAUAAGAUUACUCUUGAAACAGUUAAAGAUUAAUUACGUGCUUAACAGACCAUGCCCUGGGCCAUUUAUCUGAUAGUCUCUUCAACAAGUAUGCACACAGAAAAAUGAGUGCUAGGAAAAGAAAAAUAAACGCUAGAAGGAGGGGUUGAACCUCCGACCUUGUGGUUAACAGCCACACGCUCUAACCAACUGAGCUAUUCCAGCUUGACAUUUAUGAUUUUAUUGAUUUUUAUAUAGCUUAAGAUACUGGAUGAGAUAGUUUUCCAAAAUUAUUGGUGAAGUGAAAGUUUAAACAAACUCGAUGAAAGCCUUGAGUGUUUUACUUAAGAGGAGUUGAAUAAAACAAUGAAAGUUUUUAAUAA
Long non-coding RNA from Vicia villosa (hairy vetch), 1224 nucleotides. RefSeq lists it as uncharacterized. Lineage: Eukaryota; Viridiplantae; Streptophyta; Magnoliopsida; Fabales; Fabaceae. The record is from RefSeq and is a predicted model, not a curated record. The transcript has 3 exons.